This 253-nucleotide ribosomal RNA is filed under the name uncultured bacterium. RNAcentral describes it as "partial 16S ribosomal RNA". It matches the Rfam family "Bacterial small subunit ribosomal RNA", at positions 524 to 776 of the family's 1533-position model. The record is from RNAcentral.
UACGGGGGGUGCGAGCGUUGUCCGGAUUUACUGGGCGUAAAGAGCGUGUAGGCGGCCAAGCAGGUCCGUUGUGAAAACUGGAGGCUUAACCUCCAGACGUCGACGGAAACCGCGUGGCUAGAGUCCGGAAGAGGAGAGUGGAAUUCCUGGUGUAGCGGUGAAAUGCGCAGAUAUCAGGAAGAACAUCAAUGGCGAAGGCAGCUCUCUGGGACGGUACUGACGCUGAGACGCGAAAGCGUGGGGAGCGAACAGG